RNAcentral lists this ribosomal RNA (253 nucleotides) under uncultured bacterium. RNAcentral's name for it is "partial 16S ribosomal RNA". It matches the Rfam family "Bacterial small subunit ribosomal RNA", at positions 524 to 776 of the family's 1533-position model. The record is from RNAcentral.
UACGGAGGGGGCAAGCGUUAACCGGAAUUAUUGGGCGUAAAGCGUCCGUAGGCGGUUGGUCAAGUCUGGUGUCAAAGGGCGGGGCUCAACCUGAUAAAGGCAUUGGAAACUGGCGGGCUAGAGUGUGGUAGGGGGAGGGGGAAUUCCCAGUGUAGCGGUGAAAUGCGUAGAGAUUGGGAAGAACAUCGGUGGCGAAAGCGCCCUGCUGGGCCUGCACUGACGCUGAGGGGCGAAAGCUAGGGGAGCAAAAGGG